This 497-nucleotide ribosomal RNA is filed under the name uncultured bacterium. Its description in RNAcentral is "partial 16S ribosomal RNA". It matches the Rfam family "Bacterial small subunit ribosomal RNA", at positions 28 to 507 of the family's 1533-position model. The record is from RNAcentral.
GAUGAACGCUGGCGGCGUGCCUAAUACAUGCAAGUCGAGCGAACGGACGAGAAGCUUGCUUCUCUGAUGUUAGCGGCGGACGGGUGAGUAACACGUGGAUAACCUACCUAUAAGACUGGGAUAACUUCGGGAAACCGGAGCUAAUACCGGAUAAUAUUUUGAACCGCAUGGUUCAAAAGUGAAAGACGGUCUUGCUGUCACUUAUAGAUGGAUCCGCGCUGCAUUAGCUAGUUGGUAAGGUAACGGCUUACCAAGGCAACGAUGCAUAGCCGACCUGAGAGGGUGAUCGGCCACACUGGAACUGAGACACGGUCCAGACUCCUACGGGAGGCAGCAGUAGGGAAUCUUCCGCCCUGGGCGCCCGCCUGACGGCGCACCGCCGCGUGAGUGAUGAAGGUCUUCGGAUCGUAAAACUCUGUUAUUAGGGAAGAACAUAUGUGUAAGUAACUGUGCACAUCUUGACGGUACCUCCUCAGAAAGCCACGGCUCCCUACGUG